RNAcentral lists this small nuclear RNA (104 nucleotides) under Microcebus murinus (gray mouse lemur). The record is from RNAcentral. Lineage: Eukaryota; Metazoa; Chordata; Mammalia; Primates; Cheirogaleidae.
AUGCUUGCUUCAGCAGCACAUAUAAUAAAAUUGGAACGAUACAGAGAUUAGCAUGGCCUCUGCACAAGGAUGACACAUAAAUUCGUGAAGCGUAAGAAAAAAAA